AAAGUUAAAAGUUGCCAUUGCAGUUACUGUCAGACCAAACUAACCCCUGAGAACUCUCCACAUUUGUAAAACGGACGGAAAGGUUCAGUGGCGUUUCCCACCUGGAACAGGACUAGGUAAUGCUUUGAACAUGAAGAGCGGACCUCCCCGGUGAGGAACCAUCAUGGGAAUGAGGAGAUAGGAAUGGCUGAAGGAAACGCCAAGAAGCUCUCCUUUGUGGAGUGAGGGGCCAGUGACGGUUCUGCUUCAACACCAGAGGGGGUGCAAUCCCCGCAGAAAAGGAACACUGUCUCUAAUGUUGCAAAAAGUAACCAGCAUGAAGUUAGCGAGAAGAAACCACUGUUGCUGCUGCUUAACACUGACCCCUACCUGCUUUAGACUUAGAUCCAGAAUGGAGCUAGCACAGUGACUUAUGUAACUCUUACUGGUUUAAGAGAAUGACGUAUAGACAAGAUGCUGCCUCCCAUGGAAAGGUUCCUAUGCAUCAAGCCACUCUAUUUCCCUGUCACUUCCCUAAAAUUAAUUUAUGUAAUUAUGCUGUCAAUGAAGUCCAGCAAC
This 558-nucleotide long non-coding RNA is filed under the name Mus pahari (shrew mouse). RNAcentral's name for it is "lncRNA (MGP_PahariEiJ_G0005866.1)". Lineage: Eukaryota; Metazoa; Chordata; Mammalia; Rodentia; Muridae. The record is from RNAcentral.